RNAcentral lists this ribosomal RNA (167 nucleotides) under Lindheimera texana. RNAcentral describes it as "5.8S ribosomal RNA". It matches the Rfam family "5.8S ribosomal RNA". Rfam says of the family: 5.8S ribosomal RNA (5.8S rRNA) is a component of the large subunit of the eukaryotic ribosome. The record is from RNAcentral. Lineage: Eukaryota; Viridiplantae; Streptophyta; Magnoliopsida; Asterales; Asteraceae.
AAACGACUCUCGGCAACGGAUAUCUCGGCUCACGCAUCGAUGAAGAACGUAGCAAAAUGCGAUACUUGGUGUGAAUUGCAGAAUCCCGUGAACCAUCGAGUUUUUGAACGCAAGUUGCGCCCGAUGCCUCUGGUUGAGGGCACGCCUGCCUGGGCGUCACGCAUCAU